UGGACCCCAACUGCUCCUGCGCCCCAGGUGGCUCCUGCGCCUGCGCUGGCUCCUGCACGUGCAAAGAGUGCAGGUGCUCGUCCUGCAAGAAGAGCUGCUGCUCCUGCUGCCCCGCGGGCUGUGCCAAGUGCGCCCAGGGCUGCGUCUGCAAAGGGACAUCGAACAAGUGCAGCUGCUGCGCCUGAUGCCAGGGGAUCCCAGCUCCCAGAUGUAAAUAGAGCCACCUGUACAAACCUGGAUUUUUUUUUUCAUAUCACCCUGACCCGUUUGCUACAUUCCUUUUUCUAUGAAACAUGUGAAUGACAAUAAAACAUUUUUUACUGGA
Microcebus murinus (gray mouse lemur) is the source of this 325-nucleotide non-coding RNA. The record is from RefSeq and is a predicted model, not a curated record. NCBI's taxonomy places the organism in Eukaryota, Metazoa, Chordata, Mammalia, Primates, Cheirogaleidae.